AUUGAACGCUGGCGGCAGGCCUAACACAUGCAAGUCGAGCGAGCGGCGGACGGGUGAGUAAUGUCUGGGAAACUGCCUGAUGGAGGGGGAUAACUACUGGAAACGGUAGCUAAUACCGCAUACCAUCAGAUGUGCACAGAUGGGGUUAGCUAGGAGGUGGGGUAACGGCUAAACUAGGCGACGAUCCCUAGCUGGCCUGAGAGGAUGAGCAGCCCCACGGGAACUGGGAAACGGUCCAGAAUCCUACGGGGGGCAGCAGUGGGGAGUAUUGCACAAUGUGCGCAGGCCUGAUGCAGCCAUGCCGCGGGUGUGAAGAAGGCCUUCGGGUUGUAAAGCACUUUCAGCGGGGAGGCGUUACCCGCAGAGGAAGCACCGGCUAACUCCGUGCCAGCAGCCGCGGUAAUAC
This 406-nucleotide ribosomal RNA is filed under the name uncultured bacterium. RNAcentral describes it as "partial 16S ribosomal RNA". It matches the Rfam family "Bacterial small subunit ribosomal RNA", at positions 29 to 526 of the family's 1533-position model. The record is from RNAcentral.